Molecule: small nuclear RNA, 103 nt
Filed under: Vulpes vulpes (red fox)
Lineage: Eukaryota; Metazoa; Chordata; Mammalia; Carnivora; Canidae
Source: RNAcentral
GUGGCUCACUUCAGCAGCAUAUAUACUAAAAUCAGAAUAAGAGAAGAUUAUCAUGCCCCAGAAUAAGGAUGACAUCCAAAUUUAUGAAGUGCUCCAUAUUAAA